This is a long non-coding RNA of Homo sapiens (human), 209 nucleotides long. The record is from Ensembl. Lineage: Eukaryota; Metazoa; Chordata; Mammalia; Primates; Hominidae.
CCAAGACUGAAUGCCACUAAUGGGCCAUUACCUGAAGGUACCGUGAAGGGCGAGCUUGUCCUUGGGAAAUAAACCUCUGGUGUGAAUUAUUCCACUUGCAUCUGACCAGCGUCAACACUGAUGGCCUGUGGAGUGGAGCCUAAGCUCAGUCCACAGCAGGGCAUGCUGCAUGAUGCUUGGAAGCUGGGGGGUGUUGAUUUCAAAGCUGC